GGCGGGGCGGGGCGGGGCCUGGAGACCCGAGCGCCCGGGGGGCGGGGCCGGGCCGCGUGGGGGCGUGGCGGUCGGGCGGAGGGGGCGGAGUCCGCCGGCGGCAGGGGGCGGGGGCGGGGAGCGCAGGAGAGGGUCCGGCGGGGGGGGGGGCGGGGCGGGGCCUGGACACCCGAGCGCCCGGGGGGCGGGGCCUGGCCGCGCGUGGGCGUGGCGGUCGGGCGUUGCGGUAGAGGGGACCCGUGGCGGUCGGUGGUCGGUGGCCGUUGGCUUGGCGGUUGGCAAGGCUCGGAACUGUGGACUCGUGCCCGGGGGCGGGGUCAUUCGUAUCCGCUCUCUGAACCGCCGCCACCCCAAGCUGCAAAGAGCUUCAGCUCCAGCGCGGUUAAUCCGUAGAGAGAGGCCAGGUCUCCGCCAGGCCCCGGAGGUGGGGGGAGAAGCUGCGAACUGUGGGUUUUCCCGGAGAUGCCGGAAGGGAUGGCUGGGAAGGCAGCGAGAUUCCGACGGAAGCUAGAGAGCAUGGCCAGACCCAACAGACGAAGCCACAGGGAGGCCAGUUGAGACUUGACUGAAGAAGGUAAGGACCGAGGGGCUGAGCACCCCAUGCCUGGGAUCCAGCAGUCAUUUGCCAGGAAGGCUGAGCCCCGGGGUGGCAAGAGCGUGGUUUUGGAAAGGAGAAGUGUCUCUGCUUCUGGCGUAGAGUUGGUCAUUUAUUUUUUUUUAUUUUUAUUUUUUUAUUUAUUUAUGAUAGUCACGGAGAGAGAGAGAGAGGCAGAGACAUAGGCAGAGGGAGAAGCAGGCUCCAUGCAUCGGGAGCCCGAUGUGGGACUCGAUCCCGGGUCUCCAGGAUCGCGCCCUGGGCCAAAGGCAGGCGCCAAACCGCUGCGCCACCCAGGGAUCCCGAGUUGGUCAUUUAGUUCUCCAAGCCCGCACGUCCUCAUUUCUGAACCAUUGGUGAGAAAGCGCUCCGCACAGCAAGGCCGGCGGGAGCUCUGUCCAAGGUGGCGCACCAGGGUGGAGCACAACCAAGGCUGGAGUGUACUCACUGACACCAGAGCUACUCUGUCGACGCUGCACUACAACAGCCUCAUCCUGGGGAUUAGCAGCAAAGUGGAUGCCAUUGGAUUAGAGAUUAUAAUUGGCAAGCCCACAGUGGAAAUCCUUUGA
Molecule: long non-coding RNA, 1164 nt
Filed under: Canis lupus familiaris (dog)
Lineage: Eukaryota; Metazoa; Chordata; Mammalia; Carnivora; Canidae
Description: lncRNA (ENSCAFG00030007254.1)
Source: RNAcentral